AUUGAACGCUGGCGGCAUGCCUAACACAUGCAAGUCGAACGGUAACAGGCCUAGCUUGCUAGGUGCUGACGAGUGGCGGACGGGUGAGUAACGCGUAGGAAUCUGCCCAGUAGCGGGGAACAACCUGAGGAAACUCAGGCUAAUACCACAUACGCCCUACGGGGGAAAGCAGGGGAUCUUCGGACCUUGCGCUAUUGGAUGAGCCUGCGUCGGAUUAGCUUGUUGGUGGGGUAAAGGCCUACCAAGGCGACGAUCCGUAGCUGGUCUGAGAGGACGAUCAGCCACACUGGGACUGAGACACGGCCCAG
This 308-nucleotide ribosomal RNA is filed under the name uncultured bacterium. RNAcentral's name for it is "bacterial SSU rRNA". It matches the Rfam family "Bacterial small subunit ribosomal RNA", at positions 30 to 334 of the family's 1533-position model. The record is from RNAcentral.